This 266-nucleotide ribosomal RNA is filed under the name uncultured bacterium. RNAcentral's name for it is "partial 16S ribosomal RNA". It matches the Rfam family "Bacterial small subunit ribosomal RNA", at positions 92 to 354 of the family's 1533-position model. The record is from RNAcentral.
CGACCGGCGCACGGGUGAGUAACACGUAUGCAACCUGGCCGUGACAGAUGGAUAACCGGGAGAAAUCCCGCCUAAUACAGCAUGACGCCGGGAAGGGACAUCCCUUUCCGGCCAAAGGGGGCGACUCCGGUCACGGAUGGGCAUGCGGCGCAUUAGGUAGUUGGUGGGGCAACGGCCCACCAAGCCGAUGAUGCGUAGGGGUUCUGAGAGGAAGGUCCCCCACAUUGGAACUGAGACACGGUCCAAACUCCUACGGAAGGCAGCAG